CAGCAGCCGCGGUAAUACGAAGGAUGCAAGCGUUACUCGGAAUUACUGGGCGUAAAGCGUGUGUAGGUGGUUGUUUAAGUCUGUCGUGAAAGCCCUGGGCUCAACCUGGGAAUUGCGAUGGAUACUGGGCGACUAGAGUGCGGUAGAGGAUAGUGGAAUUUCCGGUGUAGCAGUGAAAUGCGUAGAGAUCGGAAGGAACAUCUGUGGCGAAGGCGACUAUCUGGGCCAACACUGACACUGAGACACGAAAGCGUGGGGAGCAAACAGGAUUAGAUACCCCAGUAGUCCCUGUCUCUUAUAC
This 301-nucleotide ribosomal RNA is filed under the name uncultured bacterium. Its description in RNAcentral is "partial 16S ribosomal RNA". It matches the Rfam family "Bacterial small subunit ribosomal RNA", at positions 509 to 807 of the family's 1533-position model. The record is from RNAcentral.